GAUGAACGCUGGCGGCAUGCCUAAUACAUGCAAGUAGAACGCUGAAGGAGGAGCUUGCUCUUCUGGAUGAGUUGCGAACGGGUGAGUAACGCGUAGGUAACCUGCCUGGUAGCGGGGGAUAACUAUUGGAAACGAUAGCUAAUACCGCAUGACAACAGUUAUUGCAUGAUAACUGUUUAAAAGGGGCAACUGCUCCACUACCAGAUGGACCUGCGUUGUAUUAGCUAGUUGGUGAGGUAACGGCUCACCAAGGCGACGAUACAUAGCCGACCUGAGAGGGUGAUCGGCCACACUGGGACUGAGACACGGCCCAGACUCCUACGGGAGGCAGCAGUAGGGAAUCUUCGGCAAUGGACGGAAGUCUGACCGAGCAACGCCGCGUGAGUGAAGAAGGUUUUCGGAUCGUAAAGCUCUGUUGUAAGAGAAGAACGAGUGUGAGAGUGGAAAGUUCACACUGUGACGGUAUCUUACCAGAAAGGGACGGCUAACUACGUG
RNAcentral lists this ribosomal RNA (495 nucleotides) under uncultured bacterium. RNAcentral describes it as "partial 16S ribosomal RNA". It matches the Rfam family "Bacterial small subunit ribosomal RNA", at positions 28 to 507 of the family's 1533-position model. The record is from RNAcentral.